GUUCCAGCUGCCUGCAGUCUGAUUGCAGCAAUGAGAAUCAGCUGCCGUAAUUGGCUAACACCAGUCACCUGUUUGCAAUUCCACCUCCCAGCAUAUAAGCCAGCUCUGUCAUUCACUCCCUGCUCCACCACGGACGCGCACAUCCUGCGUCGACUCGUGACCACCAGAGCUUCUUGGACACGACGCUGCCCUCGUACCCCUGCCGGUUCCUGUUUGGGUUUCCUACCUACCCCUUCAGCUGAGUUUCUUCCUGUUUCCUUCCUCCCUGACUGUUCCAGCUGCCUGCAGUCUGAUUGCAGCAAUGAGAAUCAGCUGCUGUAACUGGCUAACACCAGUCACCUGUUUGCAAUUCCACCUCCCAGCAUAUAAGCCAGCUCUGUCAUUCACUCCCUGCUCCACCACGGACUCGCACAUCCUGCGUCGACUCGUGACCACCAGAGCUUCUUGGACACGACGCUGCCCUCGUACCCCUGCCGGUUCCUGUUUGGGUUUCCUACCUACCCCUUCAGCUGAGUUUCUUCCCGUUCCCUUCCUCCCUGACUGUUCCAGCUGCCUGCAGUCUGAUUGCAGCAAUGAGAAUCAGCUGCCGUAAUUGGCUCACACCAGUCACCUGUUUGCAAUUCCACCUCCCAGCAUAUAAGCCAGCUCUGUCAUUCACUCCCUGCUCCACCACGGACUCGCACAUCCUGCGUCGACUCGUGACCACCAGAGCUUCUUGGACACGACGCUGCCCUUGUACCCCUGCCGGUUCCUGUUUGGGUUUCCUACCUACCCCUUCAGCUGAGUUUCUUCCCGUUCCCUUCCUCCCUGACUGUUCCAGCUGCCUGCAGUCUGAUUGCAGCAAUGAGAAUCAGCUGCCGUAAUUGGCUAACACCAGUCACCUGUUUGCAAUUCCACCUCCCAGCAUAUAAGCCAGCUCUGUCAUUCACUCCCUGCUCCACCAUGGACGCGCACAUCCUGCGUCGACUCGUGACCACCAGAGCUUCUUGGACACGACGCUGCCCUCGUGCCCCUGCCGGUUCCUGUUUGGGUUUCCUACCUACCCCUUCAGCUGAGUUUCUUCCCGUUCCCUUCCUCCCUGACUGUUCCAGCUGCCUGCAGUCUGAUUGCAGCAAUGAGAAUCAGCUGCCGUAAUUGGCUAACACCAGUCACCUGUUUGCAAUUCCACCUCCCAGCAUAUAAGCCAGCUCUGUCAUUCACUCCCUGCUCCACCAUGGACGCACACAUCCUGCGUCGACUCGUGACCACCAGAGCUUCUUGGACACGACGCUGCCCUCGUGCCCCUGCCGGUUCCUGUUUGGGUUUCCUACCUACCCCUUCAGCUGAGUUUCUUCCCGUUCCCUUCCUCCCUGACUGUUCCAGCUGCCUGCAGUCUGAUUGCAGCAAUGAGAAUCAGCUGCCGUAACUGGCUAACACCAGUCACCUGUUUGCAAUUCCACCUCCCAGCAUAUAAGCCAGCUCUGUCAUUCACUCCCUGCUCCACCAUGGACGCGCACAUCCUGCGUCGACUCGUGACCACCAGAGCUUCUUGGACACGACGCUGCCCUCGUACCCCUGCCGGUUCCUGUUUGGGUUUCCUACCUACCCCUUCAGCUGAGUUUCUUCCCGUUCCCUUCCUCCCUGACUGUUCCAGCUGCCUGCAGUCUGAUUGCAGCAAUGAGAAUCAGCUGCCGUAAUUGGCUAACACCAGUCACCUGUUUGCAAUUCCACCUCCCAGCAUAUAAGCCAGCUCUGUCAUUCACUCCCUGCUCCACCACGGACGCGCACAUCCUGCGUCGACUCGUGACCACCAGAGCUUCUUGGACACGACGCUGCCCUUGUACCCCUGCCGGUUCCUGUUUGGGUUUCCUACCUACCCCUUCAGCUGAGUUUCUUCCCGUGACCAUCUGCUACAAAGCAUUACCGGGUAACAAAUACACCUGAUGAAGAUCAGAAAUAUUCAAGCAGAAACCUUCAGCUUCCACGAAGGUGGAAUUCAUUCUGCCAUGAAGACCUAACAACCUUCAAAGACAAUUUGAAAAUGGGAAGAAGCGCUGCGUCACUCUGCGAAGCGCUGCGUCACUCUGCGAAGCGCUGCGUCACUCUGCGAAGCGCUGCGUCACUCUGCGAAGCGCUGCGUCACUCUGCGAAGCGCAACUCAACUCAACUCAACUCAACUCAACUCAACUCAACUCAACUCAACUCAACUCAACUCAACUCAACUCAACUCAACUCAACUCAACUCAACUCAACUCAACUCAACUCAACUCAACUCAACUCAA
Molecule: long non-coding RNA, 2261 nt
Organism: Amphiprion ocellaris (clown anemonefish)
Lineage: Eukaryota; Metazoa; Chordata; Actinopteri; Pomacentridae
Exons: 9
Source: RefSeq, a predicted model, not a curated record